This 315-nucleotide ribosomal RNA is filed under the name Triticum aestivum (bread wheat). RNAcentral's name for it is "partial small subunit ribosomal RNA". Lineage: Eukaryota; Viridiplantae; Streptophyta; Magnoliopsida; Poales; Poaceae. The record is from RNAcentral.
AUAGGUAACUUGGAUGAAAAGGUCUCGGAAUGGGUUUUGUAUGAGAUUCUUAUUCAGGUAGGUCGUGUAGUAGACUUACACAUACCCCGUGACAAGGAAACUAGUCGACCCAAAGGUUUUGCUUUUGCUGAGUAUGAACCAGAGGAGAUUGCCCAGUAUGUUGUUAGGCUGUUUUCUGGCCUUGUUCAGCUUCACAAUAGAACACUUAAAUUUGUGGUGCGUUUCUUUUUUCUCCCUGGUUAUCUAAUUUGUUGCAGUAUAGAUUGCAGUGUGUUGUUCUUAUGGUAUAGUGAGUUACAUUCUCUGAAUAGUUGA